UGCGUAGGCGGAAGAUUAAGUCAGUGGUGAAAUCCUGCGGCUCAACCGUAGAACUGCCAUUGAUACUGAUAUUCUUGAAUGUAGUUGAGGUAGGCGGAAUGUGUAAUGUAGCGGUGAAAUGCUUAGAUAUUACACAGAACACCGAUUGCGAAGGCAGCUUACUAAACUAUGAUUGACGCUGAUGCACGAAAGCGUGGGGAGCGAACAGGAUUAGAUACCCUGGUAGUCC
RNAcentral lists this ribosomal RNA (229 nucleotides) under uncultured bacterium. RNAcentral describes it as "partial 16S ribosomal RNA". It matches the Rfam family "Bacterial small subunit ribosomal RNA", at positions 568 to 796 of the family's 1533-position model. The record is from RNAcentral.